GGGUUGCUUCACUCUUUUGGAAUUUAGAAUAUUAUUCAGAUGAGUGCUCAAUAUAUACUCAGCCUAACAGGGAUCCAAAUCACCAAGAAAUGCACUUCUGGGCUUCGAGAAGAUGAUGUCCAACAAGUACCAAUGACUAUAUGGCUCCAAAGUUUGAAUUGUAUACACAUAAAUGCAUGCAGACAUGCAUGCAUACAAACAUGUAUGACUACAUAUAUAUUUACUUUUCGCGAAGGAGGUUUUAAACUUGCCAAACAGCUAUUACCUCUUUAACAUUCCAACAACAAGAUGCCAAUACACACCUUUGUAAGAAUGGUUCAUAUGUCACAUAUUGUAGCUCUCAAAGAUAACAUCUAAUUGACAGCAUUAUAGCAGUAAUCAUCCUCCAACCAACUUGCUCUAAUUCAGCUAAGCAACAUUUGCAGGCUAUUACGAUCAUUAACCUAACCAAAUAUAACCUUGUUUGUUUUAAUCCCAAAUUUUGGCCAAAAUGAAAUUGUUCAUGAAAGCUGUAAAAUAAUUUCUAAUUGAUAGAAAGAUGCAAUGACCUCUUUCAACGGGUUCCUUGUCUAAUGAGGGAGUUUAUUGGUAAAAUACCUAGCCCAUGUGAAUUUGGGACCAAAGUAGCAGCCAAUAUUCACAGUAUAAUUUGCUCAAUUUAAUAAUUUCCUCUUAUGUGUAGGGCAACUGUUUAUCCUCUUGAAUCAUAUUUAGUAUAACUAAUUUGUCACUGAAGAUGGGUCAACAUCGUAAAUAUUUAGGUAUGUAUCAGCAUUCCACAUAAACAGGGCAAAUGGAAUAUUCAUGACAUGCAUCCUCAGGAGGUAAUUUCCCAUGGAUUUCAUAAAUUUCAUUCCCCAUAUGUUUGCUUCAAGACGACUUCCAUAAAAACAAAAGCAGGCUAGUUGUUAUGUGCAUCAUGUUAUAUGUAUAUAUAUGUAUAUAUUUAUAUAUAUGUAUAUAUAUAUGUAUAUGUAUAUAUAUAUGUAUAUGUAUGUAUAUGUAUAUAUAUAUGUAU
This 1018-nucleotide long non-coding RNA is filed under the name Elaeis guineensis (African oil palm). Its description in RNAcentral is "long non-coding RNA (EGUI_LNC025114)". Lineage: Eukaryota; Viridiplantae; Streptophyta; Magnoliopsida; Arecales; Arecaceae. The record is from RNAcentral.